RNAcentral lists this transfer RNA (64 nucleotides) under Cavia porcellus (domestic guinea pig). It matches the Rfam family "tRNA". From Rfam's summary of the family: Transfer RNA (tRNA) molecules are approximately 80 nucleotides in length. Their secondary structure includes four short double-helical elements and three loops (D, anti-codon, and T loops). Further hydrogen bonds mediate the characteristic L-shaped molecular structure. tRNAs have two regions of fundamental functional importance: the anti-codon, which is responsible for specific mRNA codon recognition, and the 3' end, to which the tRNAs corresponding amino acid is attached (by aminoacyl-tRNA synthetases). tRNAs cope with the degeneracy of the genetic code in two manners: having more than one tRNA (with a specific anti-codon) for a particular amino acid; and 'wobble' base-pairing, i.e. permitting non-standard base-pairing at the 3rd anti-codon position. Lineage: Eukaryota; Metazoa; Chordata; Mammalia; Rodentia; Caviidae. The record is from Rfam by way of RNAcentral.
GGGGAUUUAGCUCAGUGGUAUAAGCACCUGCCUUACAAGCAGGCGGUUGUGAGUUCAAUCCCUG